Molecule: ribosomal RNA, 494 nt
Filed under: uncultured bacterium
Lineage: Bacteria
Description: partial 16S ribosomal RNA
Rfam family: Bacterial small subunit ribosomal RNA
Source: RNAcentral
GACGAACGCUGGCGGCGUGCUUAACACAUGCAAGUCGAACGGAAAGGCCUGCUUUCCCUUGUGGAUUGCGGGUACUCGAGUGGCGAACGGGUGAGUAACACGUGAGUGAUCUGCCCCCAACUUGGGUAUAAGCCUGGGAAACUGGGUCUAAUUCCCGAUAGGACUGCAGGGUGGUGCCUGUGGUGGAAAACGAUUUUCUAGAGGUUGGGGAUGAGCUCGCGGCCUAUCAGCUUGUUGGUGGGGUAAUGGCCUACCAAGGCGGCGACGGGUAGCCGGCCUGGGAGGGUGGACGGCCCCAUUGGGACUGAGAUACGGCCCAGACUCCUACGGGAGGCAGCAGUGGGGAAUAUUGCACAAUGGGCGGAAGCCUGAUGCAGCGACGCCGCGUGGGGGAUGACGGCCUUCGGGUUGUAAACUCCUUUCGACCGCGAGGAAGCCACCUGGUUGGAAGGGUGGUGACGGUAGUGGUGGAAGAAGCACCGGCUAACUACGUG